AUUGAACGCUGGCGGCAGGCCUAACACAUGCAAGUCGAGCGGAUGAAGGGAGCUUGCUCCUGGAUUCAGCGGCGGACGGGUGAGUAAUGCCUAGGAAUCUGCCUGGUAGUGGGGGAUAACGUCCGGAAACGGGCGCUAAUACCGCAUACGUCCUGAGGGAGAAAGUGGGGGAUCUUAGGACCUCACGCUAUCAGAUGAGCCUAGGUCGGAUUAGCUAGUUGGUGGGGUAACGGCCUACCAAGGCGACGAUCCGUAACUGGUCUGAGAGGAUGAUCAGUCACACUGGAACUGAGACACGGUCCAGACUCCUACGGGAGGCAGCAGUGGGGAAUAUUGGACAAUGGGCGAAAGCCUGAUGCAGCCAUGCCGCGUGUGUGAAGAAGGUCUUCGGAUUGUAAAGCACUUUAAGUUGGGAGGAAGGGAAGUAAGUUAAUACCUUGCUGUUUUGACGUUACCAACAGAAUAAGCACCGGCUAACUUCGUG
This 484-nucleotide ribosomal RNA is filed under the name uncultured bacterium. RNAcentral's name for it is "partial 16S ribosomal RNA". It matches the Rfam family "Bacterial small subunit ribosomal RNA", at positions 30 to 507 of the family's 1533-position model. The record is from RNAcentral.